CCUACACUCAUUUUGAAUGCUUCGAACACAAGACAUUUGGCUUGACCGUUUGGGGUAUUCACCUUUAUCCAUAUUCUUUAGUGCAGUCCGAAAUCAAUAACACUUUAUAAAAAAACAUAAAAAACAACUCAACACAUUUAAACCUUUUGUUUGAACCUUAGGGCAUCACAAUCUAAAACCCUUCUUCAAGGUAAUAAAAUCAACAAAACAAACCAAACAAUUUCAAACCUACAAACUACGAAGACU
RNAcentral lists this long non-coding RNA (246 nucleotides) under Lathyrus oleraceus (garden pea). RNAcentral describes it as "Pisum sativum (pea) long non-coding RNA (PSAT_LNC023107)". The record is from RNAcentral. Lineage: Eukaryota; Viridiplantae; Streptophyta; Magnoliopsida; Fabales; Fabaceae.